This 71-nucleotide transfer RNA is filed under the name Eubacterium sp. Its description in RNAcentral is "tRNA-Trp". It matches the Rfam family "tRNA". Rfam says of the family: Transfer RNA (tRNA) molecules are approximately 80 nucleotides in length. The record is from RNAcentral. RNAcentral also lists the same sequence under 3 other names. Lineage: Bacteria; Bacillati; Bacillota; Clostridia; Eubacteriales; Eubacteriaceae.
AGGGGGUUGGUCUACCGGUAUGAUAGGGGUCUCCAAAACCUUUGGAAGGGGUUCGAUUCCCUUACCCCCUG